AGAGGGAUUCACACGGACAAAAGGGAGCUCGCAAAGGUGUCCGACCAAAGUCUGCGUCCCGUGUUUUCAUGGUGAUGACUGCAUUUACGCGUGGACGGGCCUAAUAGCCCUACGCCUCGGCGGUAGUACGAUUAGUUGUGUUACAACGGUUCAUGGUCGCCGUAUUGUCGAAGCACUGUGGUUUGCGAAACUAUCUCAGUUCGGUCUCGAUGUUCUCUCUGCUUAACAUCCGUUAUUUUCCACGUUCAUUGGAGGGCGACGUUUGGCCGCCCGCUGAAUAUCAGUAACAAGUGUGCUUGUUGCAUCUUUUAUGAAUGACGCGGCGGCCUUUGUGUGAUAUAAGAGGCUAACAGCGAUUUGAGGUCGAUACUUGGUUUCAGAGGGUACCGGGUCGCCUUCGCAAUACUCCCAGAUCGGUGCGAAUGGUGUGAUGUCAGACUAAUUUGGGGGUCCCGCCUGCCGAGGCGGUCCACGUAAAGUGUUUGUCGAUUCCACGUGCGAGCUUGGGCACAAGAGCAGCUCAGUACUUCAGGCACCUGCCUUUCCCUUGAAGAGCUCAUCUGAUCGUGACACGCUGAUCGCUUGCCUUUCCACUGUCGACGCAUGUCGUCGAUCGCGGUGUUGCAUCUGCUGGUAGACGUGCCAGUGACGAUCCUUGGAAUUACGAACAGCGCGUGGUUUCUGCGGCAGAAUGUGGAUCAGUUACGUAUCCCAUAUACGGCAGCAAAAGGUCGAUGGUCCCCGAGCUCGUCAGAUCACUUUGUGGUUCUUGGGGUAAGGAACAGUGGAUCGCUGACGGUUCUGGCAGGAGAGCUGCGCGGUUGCGGAAGGCCCCGAAUAUAUAUGCGGAGUCGCACGAUACAAAGCAUGCAUACCUCGAUUCCUAACUCCAUGCCAGGGCGUGAAACGGUCGAUAAGACACGCAGUGGUUAUCGGUGGGGUGAUGUGUGUCCACUCCAUGACGUCUUCACUAGUCCCAAGUCCUAUGAGCCUCAUGUAAACUCUGAUUGAGUAGGAAUUCCUCUGUGCCGCAGGCGGCACUGCGGCACCAGCGAUGCAUGGUUAGUUUCCCGAUAGUUGAAAUCCGCUUCGCUUCUUUCUCAGCGUGGUGUCUGCUGCC
RNAcentral lists this long non-coding RNA (1120 nucleotides) under Toxoplasma gondii VEG. The record is from RNAcentral. Lineage: Eukaryota; Apicomplexa; Conoidasida; Eucoccidiorida; Sarcocystidae.